This is a long non-coding RNA of Callorhinchus milii (elephant shark), 1203 nucleotides long. RefSeq lists it as uncharacterized. The transcript has 2 exons. Lineage: Eukaryota; Metazoa; Chordata; Chondrichthyes; Chimaeriformes; Callorhinchidae. The record is from RefSeq and is a predicted model, not a curated record.
GGUUUCAAUUGCAUUUUAAUACGAUCAGUGUUGGACUUUUGUUUAUUAUGUAUUCCGAUUUUAAUAACUAUAUACAAUGCAAUAUUAUAAGCCACAUUUACAACGUGUUAAUUUUACAAUCCCUUCAUUAGUCAGACAUCCACUGAUCAAUUGCUUCAACAUAGUGGGUUAGUUGGAGAAUUAGCAUUAAAGAAAAUAUUGUGUGUGUGUGUAGACUACAACAAUCCCUUAACAUUUCAUAUUAUUGUUGGAGUGAUAAGCAUAUCAAAACUAAUGAAUUGAAGGACAUAAAAUUUAAAAAAUCUCCCUUUCCUUGUUCUCUCGCUCGGUUUUAGGCAAUGCAACCAAAAUUAAUAAAUCUGCUGCAAAUGUGCCACUGAAUAUUUAAGGCCUGGUCGAACAGAUUGUAAAUAGGAAUGCAACAUUGUGUUUCAGUUGUAAAUUUACAUGAGUUUUAACAAGUCACCGAAAAUUCUUCUCUUUGACCCCCUUCUGGAGCUGGAGCCUGGCGGUUAUUGGAGACAGGUGAUGGAGAUUGAAGACAGGUGACGGUGAAAUCAGUUCCUCGCAAAGAGCGGCCUGUGUGCACUUCUCACCGCACAGAGCUAAUCCGUGAUGUAAAACAUGCAGCGACAUCUCUAAUAUACAUCCCGGCGCCCCGGCGAAAAGCACCGCCUGUAAACUACUGUAGUAAUAUUACAGGCAGAUCAUCCGAUUUGAAUGCGAAGACCUGGAUUGCGAAAAUAUAUUUUAAAGGACCAAAAUUCGUUUUUUUUAAAAAAAAAUCCGAUUGUUUUUUUCUCGGGAGCAGCUUCUGUUGGGUUCAUUUGGCUGGUUUUGCGGGGCCCUGUUUUUGCGGAAUUAAACCCUAACACUCUACAUUGACACUCAGGUGAAGUGGUUUCGUGACACGAGCAGAGCGUUUGCACCGAAUACAUUCCUCGAUGCUUGGCGCAAUCUGAGGUACGAACAAAGAUAUUUACAGAUUGUGCAAUCCCGAUUUAUUGUGGCACGUUUAGGAGCCGUUGUGAAUUUCUUUCGACCUUACCGCAUUUUCUGCAUCUAACGACCAUUCCAGUCCUUCCUUUACAAUUGCAGUUUUCUAAUACAAACCCCGUUGCUGACUUGAAAAAUACGCCUACUUUCUCGGUGUUUGCUGAUUUUUGAAUGAGGAUCGUAUAAUUAAAGCCACGAUUAAACCGC